Molecule: long non-coding RNA, 228 nt
Filed under: Lathyrus oleraceus (garden pea)
Lineage: Eukaryota; Viridiplantae; Streptophyta; Magnoliopsida; Fabales; Fabaceae
Description: Pisum sativum (pea) long non-coding RNA (PSAT_LNC026400)
Source: RNAcentral
UGAUUUUUUUUUCGUCCUCUUCCGCUCACCUUUUUCUUUUUAAGUGAUUUUUUUUUCUCUUCCUCUCAAAUCUCACAAUUUCUGAUGUUUGUUUCCUUCUCUCAUAUUUAUUAAUCCUUUACUUUAUUUCUCCAAUUUUUUCAUUUGGUUUGAUUGCAUUUAUUUAUGGGUGAUUUAAAAUCAAAGAUAAAGUGAGCAUUUCAAAUUUUCCUUAUUCUUUUCUUUUUU